This 240-nucleotide unclassified non-coding RNA is filed under the name air metagenome. RNAcentral's name for it is "partial contains small subunit ribosomal RNA, internal transcribed spacer 1, and 5.8S ribosomal RNA". The stretch from base 1 to 46 matches the Rfam family "Eukaryotic small subunit ribosomal RNA", at positions 1786 to 1831 of the family's 1831-position model. The record is from RNAcentral.
AAGUCGUAACAAGGUUUUCGUAGGUGAACCUGCGGAAGGAUCAUUAAUGAAUCUUAGACCGGACUUUGCUUUGCAAAAGGCAAGUUGGUCGAUUUCAUUUCCCACACACACUUGUGCACUUUCGAUAGGUCCGAAAGGACUUGUUGGAAAAACUCUUGUGAUGUUGAAUAACGUCUAGGAUGUUCUAAUCCCAUUGAAAAAUGUAAUGAACAACUAUAAACGGUGGAUCUCUUGGCUCUC